GGGGACGUCACGGUUUCGACGGGGGUAUGAAAGGUGGCGGCUGCAGGCCAAGGCCCACACCCUUGUAAAAAUGUGGAAACGUCAACUUAGACGCCAACGAUAACAACAUACUCCUUGCUGCUUAAUUAGCAGCGACGCUCCCGGUUCUCUCUCCUGCGUGGGUUCCGACGAGUGCCAUUACAGCAGGACGGUCUGCCAGGUCUUUUCGCUUCCUGGGGGUCGUAUUCAAAGUGAAAUAGUCUGUGACAUUCCGUGCCGGCAAGGUAGUCACAGGCGAAACUCAUUUGCCGGAUAAGCCUGUAGAUGCUUCCAUUAGUCUGCCUUCGGACGCGGGUUCGACUCCCGCCGUCUCCAUGG
This 357-nucleotide transfer-messenger RNA is filed under the name bacterium. Its description in RNAcentral is "c UBA6191 X1 Standard tmRNA". It matches the Rfam family "transfer-messenger RNA". Rfam says of the family: Bacterial tmRNA, also known as 10Sa RNA or SsrA, is named for its dual tRNA and mRNA-like properties. The record is from RNAcentral. RNAcentral also lists the same sequence under 1 other name.